RNAcentral lists this ribosomal RNA (1957 nucleotides) under human gut metagenome. Its description in RNAcentral is "bacterial LSU rRNA". It matches the Rfam family "Bacterial large subunit ribosomal RNA", at positions 3 to 1984 of the family's 2925-position model. The record is from RNAcentral.
UUAAGUUAAUAAGGGCGCACGGUGGAUGCCUUGGCACUAGAAGCCGAAGAAGGACGUGACUAACGACGAAAUGCUUUGGGGAGCUGUAAGUAAGCGCUGAUCCAGAGAUGUCCGAAUGGGGGAACCCACUAGUUAAUGACUAGUAUCCAUAUCUGUUAAGGAUAUGAGAAGGAAGACGCAGUGAACUGAAACAUCUAAGUAGCUGCAGGAAGAGAAAGCAAAAGCGAUUGCCUUAGUAGCGGCGAGCGAAACGGCAGGAGGGCAAACCGAAGUGUUUACACUUCGGGGUUGUAGGACUGCGAUAUAGGAUUAAUCAUUAUAGAAGAAUUACCUGGGAAGGUAAGCCAAAGAGAGUAACAGCCUCGUAUUUAAAAUGAUAGAUUAACCUUAGCAGUAUCCUGAGUACGGCGAGACACGCGAAAUCUCGUCGGAAUCUGGGAGGACCAUCUCCCAACCCUAAAUACUCUCUAGUGACCGAUAGUGAACCAGUACCGUGAGGGAAAGGUGAAAAGCACCCCGGGAGGGGAGUGAAAUAGAACCUGAAACCGUGUGCCUACAACAAGUUCGAGCCCGUUAAUGGGUGAGAGCGUGCCUUUUGUAGAAUGAACCGGCGAGUUACGAUAUGAUGCGAGGUUAAGUUGAAGAGACGGAGCCGUAGGGAAACCGAGUCUUAAUAGGGCGUAUUAGUAUCAUGUCGUAGACCCGAAACCAUGUGACCUACCCAUGAGCAGGUUGAAGGUGAGGUAAAACUCACUGGAGGACCGAACCAGGGCACGUUGAAAAGUGCUUGGAUGACUUGUGGGUAGCGGAGAAAUUCCAAACGAACUUGGAGAUAGCUGGUUCUCUCCGAAAUAGCUUUAGGGCUAGCGUCGAUGUUAAGUCUCUUGGAGGUAGAGCACUGUUUGGGUGAGGGGUCCAUCCCGGAUUACCAAUCUCAGAUAAACUCCGAAUGCCAACGAGAUAUAAUCGGCAGUCAGACUGCGAGUGCUAAGAUCCGUAGUCGAAAGGGAAACAGCCCAGACCACCAGCUAAGGUCCCAAAAUAUAUGUUAAGUGGAAAAGGAUGUGGGGUUGCACAGACAACUAGGAUGUUAGCUUAGAAGCAGCUAUUCAUUCAAAGAGUGCGUAAUAGCUCACUAGUCGAGUGACCCUGCGCCGAAAAUGUACCGGGGCUAAAACAUAUUACCGAAGCUGUGGAUACCUUUAUAGGUAUGGUAGGAGAGCGUUCUAUGUGCGAAGAAGGUGUACCGUGAGGAGUGCUGGAGCGCAUAGAAGUGAGAAUGCCGGUAUGAGUAGCGAAAGACAGGUGAGAAUCCUGUCCACCGUAAGACUAAGGUUUCCAGGGGAAGGCUCGUCCGCCCUGGGUUAGUCGGGACCUAAGGAGAGACCGAAAGGUGUAUCCGAUGGACAACAGGUUGAUAUUCCUGUACUAGAGUAUAUAGUGAUGGAGGGACGCAGUAGGCUAACUAAACCAGACGAUUGGAAGUGUCUGGCCAAGCAGUGAGGUGUGAUAUGAGUCAAAUGCUUAUAUCUAUAACAUUGAGCUGUGAUGGGGAGCGAAGUUUAGUAGCGAAGUUAGUGAUGUCACACUGCCGAGAAAAGCUUCUAGCGUUAAUUAUACUCUACCCGUACCGCAAACCGACACAGGUAGUCGAGGCGAGUAGCCUCAGGUGAGCGAGAGAACUCUCGUUAAGGAACUCGGCAAAAUGGCCCCGUAACUUCGGGAGAAGGGGCGCUGAUUUUAGAUCAGCCGCAGUGAAUAGGCCCAAGCAACUGUUUAUCAAAAACACAGCUCUCUGCUAAAUCGUAAGAUGAUGUAUAGGGGGUGACGCCUGCCCGGUGCUGGAAGGUUAAGAGGAGUGCUUAGCGCAAGCGAAGGUAUGAAUUGAAGCCCCAGUAAACGGCGGCCGUAACUAUAACGGUCCUAAGGUAGCGAAAUUCCUUGUCGGGUAAGUUCC